This 495-nucleotide ribosomal RNA is filed under the name uncultured bacterium. RNAcentral describes it as "partial 16S ribosomal RNA". It matches the Rfam family "Bacterial small subunit ribosomal RNA", at positions 28 to 507 of the family's 1533-position model. The record is from RNAcentral.
GACGAACGCUGGCGGCGUGCCUAAUACAUGCAAGUAGAACGCUGAAGGAGGAGCUUGCUUCUCUGGAUGAGUUGCGAACGGGUGAGUAACGCGUAGGUAACCUGCCUGGUAGCGGGGGAUAACUAUUGGAAACGAUAGCUAAUACCGCAUAAGAGUAGAUGUCGCAUGACAUUUGCUUAAAAGGUGCAAUUGCAUCACUACCAGAUGGACCUGCGUUGUAUUAGCUAGUUGGUGAGGUAACGGCUCACCAAGGCAACGAUACAUAGCCGACCGGAGAGGGGGGGUGGCCACACUGGGAGUGAGACACGGCCCAGAGGCCCACGGGAGGCAGCAGUAGGGAAUCGUCGGCAAUGGGCGGAAGUCUGACCGAGCAACGCCGCGUGAGUGAAGAAGGUUUUCGGAUCGUAAAGCUCUGUUGUAAGGGAAGAACGAGUGUGAGAGUGGAAAGUUCACACUGUGACGGUAACUGACCAGAAAGGAACGGCUAACUACGUG